RNAcentral lists this ribosomal RNA (484 nucleotides) under uncultured bacterium. RNAcentral describes it as "partial 16S ribosomal RNA". It matches the Rfam family "Bacterial small subunit ribosomal RNA", at positions 28 to 507 of the family's 1533-position model. The record is from RNAcentral.
AUUGAACGCUGGCGGCAUGCUUUACACAUGCAAGUCGAACGGCAGCGCGGGCUUCGGCCUGGCGGCGAGUUGCGGACGGGUGAGUGAUUCAUCCGAACGUGCCCAGCCUUUGGGGAUAGCCCGGCGAAAGCCGGAUUAAUACCGCAUACGACCUGAUGUUGAAAGCGGGGGACCGAAAGUCCUAGGCGUAUUUGCGCGGCCGAGUGCGGUGUUGCGCGGUGGUUGGGUAACGGCUUACCAAGGCGACGAUCCGUAGCCGGUCUUAGAGGACGACCAGCCACACUGGAACUGAGACACGGCCCAGACUCCUACGGGAGGCAGCAGUGGGGAAUUUUGGACAAUGGGGGAAACCCUGAUCCAGCCAUGCCGCGUGCGGGAAGAAGGCCUUCGGGUUGUAAACCGCUUUUGUUCGGGAAGAACUCCUCUGGGAGAAUACCCCGGGGGGAUGACGGUACCGGAAGAAUAAGCACCGGCUAACUACGUG